CGCUCGCCCCUGCGCCGAGACGGCGCUCGCCCUCCGCCCCUCCCUGGAACCUCGCCCUGCGCCGACCUGCGACCUGUGACGGCGCUCGCCCCGCCGCCGACACCGUGCCCUCCCUGGACGCUCGCUCCGCGCCGCCCUGUGAAUCCAUUGCUGACCCCGCCGUCGCCUGCGCCAUAUCCGGACGCUCGCACCGCGCCGUGCCCUCCCUGGACGCUCGCCCCGCGCCGCCCUGUUGAGGGCGCUGACCCCGCCGCCGAUGGCGUGGCUUCGCCUCGCCCAGUCUGCGCUCCCGGCGUCCUCGUCCAGCACGCGUGCCUAGCUCCCUCCGGGUUUCUCCUGCCGGCCUCGUGGACGCUGCCUCCAUCCGCGCCCCCGGCGGCCUCCAACACGCGUGCCUCCCUCCGGUCGGCGCCGAGGACGGCGCCUCCGUCCGAGCUGCUGCCGGGAUCCAGUAGCCGCCAGAGCACCGUCGCGUGAGCACCCGACGAUCGCCUGGCCCCCUGUACCCUGCACCGUCGCCUAUCCCACCGCCGUGUAGCCCUCGCCGCCUUCCGCCGCGCCGGUAACAGAAGAGAUGAAGCCAGAAAAAUGAUCGGCUGGAAAGAAUAUCGUCGGGGGCGUCAAGAAGGUGUCUUCCUUGGCUGCAAAGAAGCAGCGCCCUCUCCGAUUCAAAGAAGGACGACGUGGACAAUCGAGCUCGAGUUCCGACGAUGAAGUGUUAGAAAAAAGCUAAAGCAAAGCCUUUUGAUUAUGGACCCGAGGCUCGAUGAAAUCAAAGAGCAUGUCGAUGCCAUGGAAAGGAAGCUCAAGAACCUCCGAAACAAUGUGGUCAAGGUGGCUGAGGACAUCGGGAAUCUCCUAGAAUUUGUAUUCGACGAACCGAUUAUUUAGAAGCCUUAGAAUACAUGGCUAGUUUUAUUUAAUUUCCUUGUGGCAACAUUAUUGGAGUUAUGAAUAAUGUGGGCAGACUUGUACUUGUCCUAUAACAAUGUCUUUUUGCUGUACCUGCUCUUUUUCUUUUUCGGAACAACAUGCAAAGGCACCCUGCAAUCUAUGUGGUUCUGGGAUGCAGAGGCAGCUGAGCAUCUCGGCGAUGCCCAAGAAUUCUGUAAUGAACAUUUGUGUGCUGAGCAUCUGCUGAAUCUGAGCAUUUGGUUGGAACA
Molecule: long non-coding RNA, 1163 nt
Organism: Panicum virgatum (switchgrass)
Lineage: Eukaryota; Viridiplantae; Streptophyta; Magnoliopsida; Poales; Poaceae
Exons: 3
Source: RefSeq, a predicted model, not a curated record